AUCGCCUCCCCUCCCUCUCGCUCUCACUAGCCGGCAACUGUCGCCCCUUUUGUCCAUUUCCCGUUCUCUCUAUCUCCAGUCUCUAGCAGGUUUGGUCUUCUGCAAUUUUUUAAUUCCUUUUUCUGAUGAUGUUUUUGAGUGUUGGCUUUUUUGAGUUUUCCUUUUGAGAAUGUAAAUUUCUCUUGUUGUUCAAAAUUUAUUGUUUGAACUGAUUUAGACUAUUAUUGAGGUAUUGUCUGAUUUUUAUUAGAUGCAAGAUGUCUGUUUAUCCUCUCUUAUUUUAUUUCUUUUUCCUCUCUUUUAGAUUCAUUAUUUUUGGUUUCUUGUUCAGGUCCUUGUUUGCUAUAUAGAUUUUUUUUUUUAAUCUCCCCUUUUUUAAAACUAUAAAUGUUGCUGGUUUGCGGUUUUAACGGUGUAAAUGGUUUUUUAAUCUGGGUCUGAAUUCCUUAUUGCAUUCCACUAAGUCUGUUGGCCUUUUCGGAUUAGUUCUUUGUUUCUGCUUAAUACAUAUUCUUAACUUUUCUAGGAUUUGUAAACUGUGAUUUUGAUUCAUUGUUUCUUUUGUAACUCUUUCACAAUGUGUGUUGUUGUUCUAAAUAUAUAGUGUUGUAUUUCUUUUUUAUGGUUUAUAUAUGCAAUGGUGUUGUUUUUUUACCAAGGGGGUUAGCUCGAUUGGUAAACCUACAAGUAAUUGCAGGUGGGAGAUACGGGUUUAAAUGCCCAAAUCCUUCAAAUAUGAAAAGCUCUAUGCUUGGUUUAGAUGACAUGAUAAUGUUGAAUUAUGUGCUUUUAUUUUUCUAGAGUGCUUAUUAUGUUAAUAUGUUCACUUAUGUUUCUUUUGAAUGCUAUUUCCGUAUAGUUUAUAAAAUUUAGAAUUUUACAAUUGAUUUUAAUGACCACUACAUGAUUCUAGUUACAAAAGCAAUUUUCGUUGCUGUUAUGUUUAAGUUUUACAAUAUUAUAUGAUUGUUGCAUAGACACCCAAUGAAUGUUCUUAAAGAUGUUGUUUUUAAUAAAUGAAAUGCCUCUUAUGUUUAGCUCUAUCAAAAUGUGCUGUUGCUGGAAUUGCAGAUUCUAGCAAAAUGAAGAAAGGAAUUCACCCUCAGAUGCAGUGGAUAUCUUAUGUGACCCAGAGUGGCAGGUUGAUGCACAUUAUGAUGACAAAAAUUCAUCAUGUUGGUAAAGUCUACCACUUCAGGGCCAGACGGCAGAUGGCUGAAAGUUUAGGACAGGUUGCCAAGUUUAAGCGUCGCUAUGGACAGGAAGAUGCUGAAGACACUACCAAAUAAUUCAUUGUGAUAGCGAAGAGAAGUUUGGUAUUGGUCCUCAACGUUUCUCAUGUAUUUUAGCUUGACACUGUGACACUGUCCUAGUGAGUGCUCUGAAUUGCAAUAAACUUUGUUGUCUAUGGGUACUUAUAGAACGAUUCAAUUUUGAUGAGUAUAGUUUAUGGUGAUUUAACUGCCCAAUUAAAACUAUUACAAGUUGGUUUAUUCAAUUUACUUGAUUUGAGAGAUAGCAAAAUGCAAAACCUGAAGGCCAACUCUGUGUUCCAUGCAUUUGUAUCCUACUUGUAAUAAUUAUGUGGCAGUUCCAGAAUUCUUAUUUUG
This 1610-nucleotide unclassified non-coding RNA is filed under the name Hevea brasiliensis (rubber tree). Lineage: Eukaryota; Viridiplantae; Streptophyta; Magnoliopsida; Malpighiales; Euphorbiaceae. The record is from RNAcentral.